GAGGAUAGCUUGAGCCUGGGAGGUGGAGGUUGCAGUGAGCUGAGAUCACGCCACUGCACUCCAGCCUGGGCAACAGAGUGAGACCCUGUCUC
This 92-nucleotide microRNA precursor is filed under the name Nomascus leucogenys (northern white-cheeked gibbon). RNAcentral's name for it is "miRNA (ENSNLEG00000028064.1)". Lineage: Eukaryota; Metazoa; Chordata; Mammalia; Primates; Hylobatidae. The record is from RNAcentral.